Molecule: long non-coding RNA, 722 nt
Filed under: Coccomyxa subellipsoidea
Lineage: Eukaryota; Viridiplantae; Chlorophyta; Trebouxiophyceae; Coccomyxaceae
Description: long non-coding RNA (CSUB_LNC000025)
Source: RNAcentral
CCGAGCGCGGGGCGUGCGGGGGCCGGGGCCGCGCAGAGAAGACGGCCGCAGCUGCCCCUGGCUCAGGUUCUCAGUAUUGGCGCCUUCGGACCAGCGCGUGUCCGGCUGCCUCAGCUGCUGCCGCACGACUCCGGGAGCCACUCGCUCUGAGCGGCCCGGCUCCACUACUCCCCUCUUGACUGCGCAAUUCCCGAAAUAAAUCGUCAACAUAUCUCCUACUGACAGUCUGUGCAAUGACAAACCAGAGGACAAGGGAAGGACGCCUUUCUUUACUGCCAUAAUCGGAACACAAGUGAAUCAGUAAGGAAGCCCUCUUGAAUCCGCAGGGACGACACAAACACUCAGUAACAAAGCCCCUGUUGAACAAAGAGGAAGCCAGCUAAAGAAAUUGAUAUACUAGUAAGUGAUGAACCAUUCAAUGGCGGGUGCAUUAAAGAAGCUUCCUGACAGGGCACUUCUGCACAUGAUGGAAUUCUGAACAGGCUGCGACAUCACGUCUCUACUGCACUGAAGCCAGAAUUUGUUUUAUCAGGGAAAUUAUGAGGUUCCCAAUGCCUCAGCUCAGCUGCAGCAGGCUACUGAAACCAACACACAUUGCUGCAAACUGCGGAUGCAUCCUGACACACCUGUUCCACCUGGGCGUUGCCGCUUGGCAGAUGGCUGGUCCCCAUCAGCGCCCUCCAGUGACCGCUUAGUCACAAGUCCCGAGCCCAUCUCAUCUG